UAAUUGAAGAGUUUGAUCAUGGCUCAGAUUGAACGCUGGCGGCAGGCCUAACACAUGCAAGUCGAGCGGCAGCACAGAGGAACUUGUUCCUUGGGUGGCGAGCGGCGGACGGGUGAGUAAUGCCUGGGAAAUUGCCCGGUAGAGGGGGGAUAACCAUUGGAAACGAUGGCUAAUACCGCAUAACCUCGCAAGAGCAAAGCAGGGGACCUUCGGGCCUUGCGCUACCGGAUAUGCCCAGGUGGGAUUAGCUAGUUGGUGAGGUAAGGGCUCACCAAGGCGACGAUCCCUAGCUGGUCUGAGAGGAUGAUCAGCCACACUGGAACUGAGACACGGUCCAGACUCCUACGGGAGGCAGCAGUGGGGAAUAUUGCACAAUGGGCGCAAGCCUGAUGCAGCCAUGCCGCGUGUAUGAAGAAGGCCUUCGGGUUGUAAAGUACUUUCAG
RNAcentral lists this ribosomal RNA (443 nucleotides) under Vibrio cholerae. Its description in RNAcentral is "bacterial SSU rRNA". It matches the Rfam family "Bacterial small subunit ribosomal RNA", at positions 1 to 439 of the family's 1533-position model. The record is from RNAcentral. Lineage: Bacteria; Pseudomonadati; Pseudomonadota; Gammaproteobacteria; Vibrionales; Vibrionaceae.